UCCCUAGUGUGCAGGUAGAAGUCUGGAGCUGCUCUUGGCCCUAGCAUAUUCUAUAUGACUCUGUGAAAGGUUCAUUUCUCUUCCAAGGUUUAUAUGUAACUAGCACAAAAUAUGGCUUACCUUUAAUUCAAUUAAAUAAGCAAUGAAUUAAGCCUUGCUUUGGUAAUUUUUGUGGACAGGUAUAGGUAGGGCAGGACUCCUUACAUUUUAGCAGUGCUUUUCCCUCAGGUUUUUCCCCAAACUAUUUUCUUAACCUGAAUUCUUGUGUCCUCUUGAUCCUUUCUUAAUAGCCAUUAAUGGAGUACAAUGUCUUUCUUUCUCUUAUUUGCUAUGCAUGUUCAUUCCUCAUGAGAACUGGAAGUAUAAACCUGGUUCCUACUUUUUGUCUAGUAAUCAUAAUCCUUUCUAAGAGAUGUUAGAAAAACAUCAUUGACAUUAAAAUUCAUAAAGACAUGACUCCUAGAUCUCAACCUAAAACUAUGACAAUAUUUUAAACAAACUUCCUAACACUUUGCUAAGUAAUUAUCAUUUUUCAAGUGCAAUACUGUCAUAAUGCCAUUUGACAUUUUCAGUUUUAACUAAAUUAUAUAGUAUUCAUUUUUUUCUUUGUAGCAGAAGCAAUUUUUAUGUUGUAGGGUUAUAAAUAUUGGGCCAACUUUCCUCAGCUAAAACAGAGCACUAGAGCAAGCACCAAGAUAAUUUAGGCCAACUGUUCACAACUUUUAUUCUGACCUAACACAUAAGAUAGAGGACAUUUGUUUAUACAACAUUCCUACAAGCAUAUCCAGGGAUAUUUCACAUUCUCAGCCACCUAGCUAUAUACCUCCACUUAUUUCUCUCCCACAGAGAAAAGCUUAUCAUUAUGCGAAAAUGAACAUGACAUCAUUAAAAGCCCAAUGGUGUAGCGUUAACCCCUUGAAUUUGUCUUGUAAAGUAAAUUAAUACAUUAAUACUUAAAACUCUUUCAAAGCACCUAAAAAUGUGUAAAAUAACUAAGAAGAGUUUAUGAAGUAACAUAUAGAAGUCUAUUAAAAGAUCACAAGAGAUUAUCUAAUGCAAAGCCGUAAGUAACCUUGCCAUUAAGUUCACCUGUGCAGUUCACGACACAAAAAGUAGCAUUUUUCAGUGAUUGACCAAAUGACAAGAACCUCUUUUACAUAUAUUUAAGAAAAAAUAUACUAUAUAAAGACAUAUUUCAAAAAGACUUCGGGUAAUUCUGAAAACGUCUUUGAAAAAGAACCUAAUAUUGCCAUGGAAAUUUGCAAAGAAGUAACCUUUGAAUUAAUUUCUUCUACUAUAUUUAAAACAACUGCUACUGGUAAUGUAUAAGCUAUUUAACCGAUUCUUACUAUCAGGUUUAUUAAGAACUGAAGAUUCCAACCUAACAUCUUUGAACUAAUCCAAAGACACUAGUUUUAGUAAUAUAUUGCCAGAAAAAAUUAAUCAAGUUUCAUUCAGAAAAUUAUUUAUAACUUUAGUUUAAAAAAUUCCAUAUAUCACUGGAAUUAAGGUAGUAUAAAACUAAAAUUGAUUCUCAUAAGUUAAGAUGUAUAUGAGAAACCCUAGAGCAACUAUCAAAAAAUAAAUAAAAAUACAAUGACAAAGCGGUUAAAGACAUUUAAAUGCUACAUUAGAAAAUAUUCACUUAAUGCAAAAGCAAGCAGUAAAGGGGAAAUAAAGGAAUAAAAAAGGCAUGAAACACAAAACAAAAAGUUAAAUGGCAGACAUUAAACCCAGCUAUACCAAUAAGAACAUUAAAUGUGAAUGGAUUUAACAAUCCAGACAAAAGGCAGAGACUGUCAGAUUGGGGAAAAAAAUAAGAUUUGACUAUACACCAUAUACAAGGGAUACACUUUAAACUGAAAGAUAUGAAUUGAUUAAAAGUUAAAGGAUAGAAGAAGAUAGAAUCAUGUAAACAGCAACCACAAGAAAGUUAUACUAAUAUCAGAAAAAAUAGACUUUAAAACAAAAAUAUUAUUAGAGACAAAAAGGGACAUUUUAAAAAGGACAUAUGCACAUGACAAUUACAAUCAUAUAUAUCAAAGCGCCAAAAUAUAUCAAACAAAACCUGAAAGGAAUGUAGGGAGAAAUAAAAACUCAGCAGCAAUAGUUGGAGGACUUUAGGGACACUUGGGUGGCUCAGUUGGUUAAGCAUCCAACUCUUAAUUUCACCACAAGUCAUGAUCACAAGUUUGUGAGUUCGAGCGCCACAUCAAACUGUUAGUGCUGAGCCUGCUUGGGAUUCUCUCUCUCCCUCUCUCUCAAAAUAAAUAAAUAAAAAAAAAGUAGUUGGAAGAUUUCAAUACUCUUCUUUCAUUAAUGACUGAACAACUAGAAUAAACCAUUAAUGGAUACAUAAACAAGGAUAUAUUUGAACACAAUAAACAACCAGACCUAACAGACAUCUAUAGAACACUCCACCCAGCAACAGAAUAUACUUUUUUUCUUAAUGCACACGUGAACAUUCUCCAGGAUAAAUAUGUUAAGCCACAAAACAAACCUCAAUAAAUGUAAGAGGAUAGAAAUAAUACAAAGUAUGUCCCCUGGCCACAAUAGAAUGAAAUUAGAAAUCAAUAGCAGGAGAAAAAAUUGGUUAACUCACAAACAUAUGGAAAUUAACACACUCCUAAAUAGCCAAUGGGUCAAAGAAGAAAUCAAAAGAGACAUCAGAAAAUACUUUGAUAUGGAUAAAAAUGAAAAAAAAAAUACCAAAAUUAAUGAGAUGCAUAUGAAGGAGUGCUUACAGGAAAAUUUAUAGCUGUAAAUGACUAUAUUAAGAAGAAAGAUCUCAAAUCAAUAACCUAACCUUCCACAUUAAGAUACCAGAAAAAGAAGUACAACUAAACCUAAAGCAAGAAGGACAGAAAUAAUAAAGAUCAGGGUAGAAAUGAAUGAAAAAGGAAUAGAAAAACAACAAAGAAAAAUCAGUGACACCAAACCCUAGUUCUUUGUUAUGAUCAACAAAAUUGGAAAAAAAAAGAGAGAAGACUUCCAUUAGUAGGAUCAGAAAUGAAAAAGGGGGCCGCCUGGGUGGCUCAGUAGGUUGGGCAUCCGAUUUCAGCUCAGGUCAUGAUCUCACCGUCCAUAGGUUCAAGCCCCGCAUCAGACUCUGUGCUGACAGCUCGGAGCCUGGAGCCUGCUUUGGAUUCUGUGUCUCCCUCUCUCUCUGCCCCUCCCCCGCUCAAGCUCUGUCUCUGUCUCUCUCAAAAAUAAAUAAACAUUUAAAAAAAAAUUUUUUUUAAAGAAAUGAAAGAGAAUCAUCAUCACUGGCCUUAUAAAUAUAAAAAGGAUUAUGAAGAAAUACCAUGAACAACUGUACACCAAAAUUAGAUAACUUAGAUGAAAUGGAUAAAUUCCUAUAAAGACACAAACUAUCAAAACUGCCUCAAGAAGAAACAGACAAUCUGGAUAGACCUAUAACAAGUGAAGCAAUUGAGUUUGCAAUCAAAAAACUACUCACAAAGCCCAGGACCAGAUGGUUUCUGAAUUCUACCAAUUAAAGUGAAAACUGAAUCAACUUUGCACAAACUCUUCCAAAAAACAGAAGUGAGGAACACUUCCCAAUUCAUUUUAUGAGACCAGGAUUAUCCUGAUAUCAAAAUCACACAAAAGAUAUUACAAGAAAAGUAAAUUACAAACCAGUAUCUCUUAUGAAUACAGAUCAAAAAAAUCCUCAUCAAAAUACUAGCAAACUGAACACAUAGCAGCAUUUAAAAAGAAUUAUACACCAUGACCAAGUACAAUUUAUCCUAGAAUUUCAAAGUUGGUUUAACAUUUGAAAAUCAAGUCAUGUACUACAUUAUAUCAAUAAAUAAGAAACAAAAAUCACAUGAUCAUCUCAUUAGAUGUAGAAAGAGCAUCUGACAAAAAUCCAACACCCUUUCAUAAUAAAAAUAAAAACAACUAGGAGUGAGAUGGGAACUUCCUCAACCUGAUGAAGGGUAUCUAUGAUAAGUUAACAUCAUAGUUAAUGGUGAGUUAUUUCUCCCUAACAUCAUGAACAAGACAAGAAUAUCUGCUCUCAUCACGUCUCUUCAACACUGUGUUGGAGGUACUAGCCAGAGCAAUUAGGUAAAUGAAUGAAUGAACGAAUGAAUGAAUAAAUGUCAUCUAGGUUGGAAAUGUAGAAGUAAAACUACUUCUAUUUGCAGGUGUCAUAAUCGUGUAUAAAGAAAAUCCUAGGGAAUCCACUAAAAAAACUAUUGGAAUUACUAAAUGAGGUCAGCAAGCUUGCAUGAUACAAGAUGAAUCUACAAAAAUCAAUUAUAUUUUUAAUCACUUGCAAUGAACAAUCAAACAUGAAACUAAGAAAACAUUUACAAUAGCCAUCAAAAAGAUAAAAUGGGAAUAAAUUUAACAAAAGUACAAAACUUAUACUCUGAAAACUACAAAACAUUGUUGAGAAAAAUUAAAGAUUUAAAAUAAAUGGGAAAACAAGCCAUGCUCAUAAAUCAAAAGACUUAACAUUGUUAAGAUGGCUAUACUCCUCAAGGGGCACCUGGCUGGCUCACUUCGUAAAACAUCCAACUCUUGAUCUCAGGAUUGUGAGUUAAAGUCCCAUGUUGGGGCUUUUAGGGGAGAAAAAAAUGCCAAUACUGCCCAAAGCGAUCCACAAAUUCAAGGCAAUCCCUCUUAUAAUUCUGGUGUCUGAUCUUGCCAUUUUCAAUGAUGUAGAUGGAGCUAGAAUAUAUUAUGCUAAGUGAAAUAAGUCAAUCAGAGAAAGACAAAUACCAUGAUUUCAUUCAUAUGUGGAAUUUAAGAAUCAAAACAGAUUAACAUAUGGGAAGAGGGUGGGAAGAGAAGGGAGGGAAACAAACCACAAAAGACUUAAUGACAGAGAACAAACUAAGGGGUUGACAGAGGGAGGGAGGUAGGGAGAUGGGCUAGAUGAGUGAUGAGCACUAAGGAGGGCACUUUUGAUAAGCAUUGGGUGUUGUAUGUAAGUGAUGGAUGAAUCACUGAAUUCUACUCCUGAAACAAACAAACUUCUGUUUGUUUUAUAGAAACUGACAAGCUGAUUCCAAAAUUCUUAUGGAAUUGCAAAGGACUCAGAAUAGUCAAAACAAUCUUGAAAAAGAACAAAGUGGAGGACUCUCACACUUUCCAAAUUCAUUUUCUUUAAAAAAAAAAAUUUUUUUUUAUGCUUUUAUUUUUGAGAGACAGAGUGUGAGUGGGAGAGGGGCAAGAGAGAGAGAGGGAGACACAGAAUCUGAAGCAGGAUCCAGGCUCUGAGCUGUCAGCACAGAGCCCGACACAGGGCUCAAACACAUGAACCGUCAGAUCAUGCCCUGAGCCGAAGUUGGACGCUUAACCGACUAAGCCACCCAUGCACUCAUUUUCUUUUGAAUUAAGCGCUACACCCAACAUGGGGCUUGAAGUCACAACCCCAAGAUCAAGAGUCACAUGCUCCACCAACUGAGCCAGCCAGGCACCCCUCAUACUUCCCAAUUUCAAAACAUACAACAAAGCAAUUAUAGAUGAUCAAAAUGUGGUAGAGGAACAAUAAAAAGAGUGGCAUAAUAACAAUAGAGAAUCAUGACUCUCUAUUCCUACAUCUUUUGUCAACUAACAAGGUUGUCAAGAUCAUUCAAUGGGGAUAAAAUAGUCUUUUCAACAAAUGGUGAUGAAAUACCUCAAUAUUUAUAUGCAAAAGAAUGAAGAAUGUUACCUGACAACAUACACAAAACUUAACUGAAAAGGGAUCAAAGACCUAAGAGCUAACACCAUAAAACUCUUAGAAGAAAACAGGGGUAAAUCCUCAUCAUCUUAGAUUUGGCAAUGGAUUCUUAGAUAUGACAAUAAAAGCAAGAGCAACAACAACAAAACAGAUAAAUUGUCCUUUGUCAAAUUAAUAACUUUAGUACUUCAAAGACACAAUCAAGAAGACAACCCAUAGAAUGGAAGAAAACAUAGACAAAUCAUACUAUCUGAUAGGAGACUUGUAUUUAAAAUAUAUAAAAGACUCUUACAACUCAGUAAUAAAAAGACAACCCAACUUAAAAAUGGGCAAUGGAUCUAAAUAGACAUUUCUUCAAGGAAGAUAUACAAAUGGCCAACAAACAUGUGAAAAAAAAUGCUCAGCAUCAUUAGAGAUCAGGGAAAUGCAAAUAAAAACCACAGGGAGAUACCACUUCACACACCCUAGGAUGACUAGAAUCAGAAAGUCAGGUAAUAACAAGGUGUUGGCAAGAAUGUGAAGAAAUCAGAACCUUCAUCCACUGCUGGUGGGAUUGGAAAGUGGUGCAGUUGCUUUGGAAAUCUAUUUGGCAUUUCACUAAAAUGUUAAUUAUUAUAUUAACCCAGCAAUUCCUCUCAUAGGUAUAUACUCAAAAGAAAUGAAGACACAUGCCCACACAAAAUCUUGGACAUGAAUGUUUAUAGCAGCAUUAUUUAGCCAAAAGAUGGAAACAACCAAAAUGUCUAUUGAUUGACAAAUAGAUACACAAAUAUGAUGUAACUAUGCAAGGGAAAAUUUGCCCAAAAAGGAAUGACAUAAUGAUACAUGCUACAACAUGGAUAAAUCUUAUACAUUAUGCUAAGUGAAAGAAGCCAGUCACAAAAGACCAUAUAUGAUUCCAUUCAUAAGAAAAUCCAGAAUAGGGAAAUCUACAUAGAAAGUAGAUUAUUGGUUGCUUAGGGCUAGGAGGCAAAGAGGGGAGAUAGAGUAAUAGUUAAAGGGUACAGUGUUUCUUUUUGAGGUGGUAAAAUGUUCUAAAAUUGAUUGAUGAUGGUUGCACAUCUCUCUGACUGUAUGCAAACCACUGAACUAUAUACUUUUUUUGAAUUAUAUACUUUAAAACGGUUAAUUGUAUAGUAGGCAAAUUAUAUUAAUAAAGCUGUUAAAAGUUAGUGAUAAAAUCUGUUUGCUUAUGUUCAAAAUAGGGUUUUUUUUUUUGUUUUUUUUUAAUUUUUUUUUCAACGUUUAUUUAUUUUUGGGACAGAGAGAGACAGAGCAUGAACGGGGGAGGGGCAGAGAGAGAGGGAGACACAGAAUCGGAAACAGGCUCCAGGCUCUGAGCCAUCAGCCCAGAGCCUGACGCAGGGCUCGAACUCACGGACCGCGAGAUCGUGACCUGGCUGAAGUCGGACGCUUAACCGACUGCGCCACCCAGGCGCCCCUGUUUGCUUAUGUUCAAAUCAAAUAGAUUUAACUUCUGACAAUCAUCUUACAGUUUUGUACUACCAUUGCUCCCAUUCCCUCACUGGACACUUUGUACAAGGAAAAGAUUUUGUAAAAGUUCAGUAACAAGUAGCCAGUUAAACAACUAAUUUGUAAAUAAAUGGAUUUCAGAAUUAAAACAGACUGAAUAGGACUGAAAUAUUUUCUAGAUGCAUGUUAGUGGGUACUACUACUCUUAUAUGUCAGUUUACUGAAUCUCUUAAGUAUACAAAUAGUUGAAUUCUACACCACAAGGAAUCUCAAGCAGCUCACUACCACUCUAAGGGCUUCAGCUUCCCUAGGCCAGACUCCCUGAAAGGUAAUUCUGGCCUCAUCUGUCAUUGACCUGAUACCCCAAAUAUCACCGCAAUUUUUUAUAGGUUAUGUGAUAAGUAUCAUAAAGACUGGUGCCUUCCAUGUCCCUGUCUUGGGUAGAACCACUAAAAUGAAAAUUUUCCAUACUAUGUGGGUUACUUGGUCAUAUCCUGAAAUGCCAUCCCCAGAGGAAAAAAAAAACUCACAUUGUACAGAGAUACAGCAAAAAAGAAGCAAACUCAAAGUCAGAACUUGGCUCUAGAACUGAUCUAUUAGAAAUAUUAUCUUUAGACAGGGAACUUCACUUCUCUAGAUCUCCAUUUCAUUACUAUAUAAAUUAAGUGGACUAGAAGACCUAAGAUUCUGUUCAAGUCCAAAAUCCUGUAAUUCAAAACCGUGAAAUAUUAAAUCACAUGUAAAAAUAGCAUAAGUAUAAUGGUAGUUAAAACUGUAUAGAUGCAAAACCAAAAAAAAAAAAAUAGCUACCUUCAAAAACACUAGGAAACAUCUGUUCUUGGAGUAUGAGUACAAGUCUAAAUUCCAUAGAAUCAGAGAAAGAAAUCUUUCCUGAGAGUAUAUGUGAACUAACAACCAGCUAAUAACCUCCUCUACCUUCCCUUCUAGUAUCCAUGACUAUUUCAACACUGGUGCAUGUAGUGAAUUCACAAACCAAAUAAAGGUCCAAUGUAAUUACAAGGCCUAUGCCAACCAAAUCUCAGAAGAAAAUAUUAAACAUUUAAUACCCACACUUAAAUGCAUUGAUGACUGUAAGUGAACUUGUGUUUUAAAUGUAGAAUAUGCUAUAAAAAUAUAGAAUAUGCUAUAAACAAUAAACAAUAGGUUCUUCAAAAUUAGAUGGCUUCCAGUUUAUAUGUUUGACUAUUUUGUUUUUAAUAUUUUAUAAAGGCUUUGGCUAAUCCCAAAUUAUUUUUCAACUGCCAACAGCUUGAAAACAAUGCUACUUUUUCAUUGGUUUAAAAGUUAAGAGCACGUUAAAAAAGGGGCGCCUGGGUGGCUCAGUCAGUUAAGCGUCUGACUUCAGCUCAGGCCAUGAUCUCACUGCUUGUGAGUUCGAGCCCCGCAUCAGGCUCUGUGCUGACAGGUCGGAGCCUGGAGCCUGCUUCAGAUUCUGUGGCUCCCUCCCUCUCUCUCUGCCCCUCCCCCACUCACACUCUGUGUCCCUCAAAAAAUAAAUAAAUAUUAAAAAAAAAGCAUGUUAAAAAAACAGAUCAUCUAAUUCCUGUACUUAUCUCCAUUAAAUAGAAAGUAUGAAAUUAUUAUCUGAACUGUAGUCUAACCUUAACUAUGUUCCUGUUUAGUACAGCAUGAAAUCAGAAGUAUAAAUGGGUUAAACAAUCGAUGGUUUGUAACUAAUGUAUUCUGAUGGUCAGCUAUAUGGUAUAGAAUAGUACUUUAAUAGCAACAGUCUUUUCAAAUAUAAAGGCUACUUUUUUUGGUUCAAACCUUGUCCUUGUUAAAAAGUAGAAAACUGGGUUUCAAAUACGUGUACUUUCCAGAACUGCCAGGUUGUCAAUGGUUUUUGCAGAUAUCAAAAAAUGUAUACCUCAAUACAAGAAAAAAAUUUAACAGCACUUGGAGUGUUCACUUGGUUGGAACUAAAUUUAAUAACUUUUAUUCAACAGGUUCAUGCUAGAGUAAUGAACUUUCUAGGGUUCUGAUAAUCUUCUACUAAAUAAAUACACCUAUGUAUUAUACACACACACACACACAUAUAUAUGUAUAGGGAACUGUACUAGCGUACAUAUUGUCUAAAAGAACAUAUUAAAGACAUUAUAUAAAAAAUUUUACAUUUUUAAUAGGAAAACAACCUUUAUGACAGCUAAAUAGACUAUAUUUAGUUUUUAAAAAGAAAAAUUGUUCGUAAUAAGAGUAGAAUUCUAGUGAUAAAUGCACUGAAAUAAUCUUUUGAAAUAAACCACCUUUACAGAAAAUUAUUAAUGCCAGACUCUAUUAAAGUGCAUAAAAAGGAAAUUUAUUUCAGAAUUUAUACCAAAGGUGCAUUAUGGAUACAUGUGUUACUCUGGUACAGUAAGGCAGGAAGCCCAGCCUCAAUGAUAAUAUAGCCUUCAUCCUAACAUAGUCUGCCUCUUAGAAUGUGCCUCAUAAAUAGUUUGUUCCAAAAGGUGAAAAUUACAAGCGAUUUUCUCUAUUGAUAGCUUGAUGAGUAAUUUUGACAACAGAAUAAAAAAGUCUUAAUUCUUAUUUUUCUAAUUAUCUAAAGUCAUGUCAGUCUCACAAGAAAUAUCUGAUUAUUGUUUUCAAAGAAAAUUGAGAAGAGGGAUAUUUUCAGACUUUUUAAGCAAGCUAAAUCAUAAAUACCAUAUAUAAAAAUAAAAGGUAAAUUUUAGGCUACCUCUAAAUUUUAAUUUUUUUAAAAAACAUUAAAUCAUUUUAUUUGCAAUGGUGAGGUAAAGUGAUGAAAAGAAAAACUUGCACAGGUGCUUUCUUAAGAAGACCAAUGGAUAAAGCAAUUGAAUCAAGAACUGUGCACAGAGGUGCUGAAUGGACAGUCAUAGCUACCACAUCAUGCAGUUUAUUACAAAAAGUGAAACUGCUAUAGCUUUUUUAAUGUUCACUGUUGCUCUCUUAAAACCUUGCUCAAUUUUAGGGGCACCUGGGUGGCUCAGUCAGUUAAGCAUCUAACUUCGGUUCAGAUCAUGAUCUUGCAGUUGAUGAGUUCAAGCCCCACGUUGGGCUCUGUGCUGACAGCUCAGAGGCUAGAGCCUGCUUUGGAUUCUGUGUCUCCCUCUCUCUCUGCCCCUCCCCUGCUUGCACUGUCUCUAUCUCUCAAAAAUAAAUAAACAUUAAAAAAAAUUUAUAUAUAAAAAAAAGGCUUGCUCGAUUUUAAAACAAGUAUCAGAAGGAAGUCCCUUACAUAUGCUUAUUUUUCAGUGGCCUCACAUAAUGAUUCUCCCAUUUAAAGUAGUUACAUAUACACUGAUGUUUUUAUCACAAUGAAAAAAGGGAAGAAAGAAAAACAAAUGUGGGUUCAUAAGAUGGAAUCCAUGAAGAGGCUAAUAAUGGAUCCUUUGACUACAGAAAAUCAGCAACAGACUGCAAAUAUUAAUUAUAGAAAACAAGGGCACCUGGGUGGCUCAGUUGGUUAAGUGUCCGACUUUGGCUCAGGUCAUGAUCUCAGAAAUCAUGAGUUUGAGCCCCGCGUCGGGCUCUGUGCUGACAACUCAGAGCCUAGAGCCUGCUUGUUCUCUGCCCUCUCUCUCUGCCCCUCCCCUGCUUGCACUCUGUCUCUCUUAAAAAAAUAAAUUAAAAAAAAUUAAUUAUAGAAAACACUUUAUCAGUAUCAUAAAAAAAAGAGUAUGAUAAAUUUUUUCUAAAAUACUCAAUUCAUUUUUAUGAUAAUUCAAUCAAAUACUUAUAAAUUAUUCAUGUACUUUUCUGUGAGUUUUUUUUAUUAUUAAUAUUUAUGUUUUCGGGUAUUAGUUUUUCCUGCUCUUGCAUCGAAGUCCUCCCAUAAAUCCCUGGAAAGUCAUAAAUAUCCCUAUAGCCACGGGUAAACCACUAAAGUGAUAAUUCAUCAAGAUGUAUUUUUACCUAAUAAAUAAAUCUGUUGUGAGGUUAACUUCUAUUUAUAUAAAAUAAUCCCAUUUAAGCUAUGAAAAAUAAUGUUCCAUAUUGACUUUACUAUGGCUCAAACCCUCAGACAAAUAAGUAUCUCUCUGAUUGCCUGUUAAUGCAAAGAAAACUGGGUAAAUUUUAUAUUCAUAUUUAAACUACUGAAUACCUGUAAACAAAGUAGCAUUUAUUAAAAUAAACACUUAAUUUAUACUAAAUUCCACUCAGAUUUAUACAAGUUUUUCAUUCUUAAUUUUUAAAUACAUACAUGAUUUUUUUCAAACAUUUUCAGUCAGGUAUAUACAAUAGUAAAAUAUGACAUCCAAGCCAGAAUAUGAUUUUUAAAAUAAUGAACCUCUAAACAGCUAGUAAUGUACAAUGUGUAAAAUUCCAAUAAAACACAGGUAUAUUCUUACAGAAAUGUUAGUCCUAUAAUACUGAGCGAUAUUUACAAGCAAACAUGAUCCAAACAGCACAUGCAGAUUCAGGGUAAGUAAACACUCGGACACGAACUGCCAGUCGCACCUGGUCUCCACGGCAACAGAUUAUUUCUUCACAGAAAGGAGACCUACAGAAGAAAGAAGAUUUAUUCAAUUAAGAAGUGAACAUAGGUUUUACUUUUUUCCAAGUAAGUCAGCAUUUAAAAUAAUUUUGAAAAAUCCUGUCUCUGCUACCAACAGCCCUGUAAUUUUGGUUAAGCUAUCCGAAAUAUAGAACAUUUCCUCACAGUGUAUAAAUUUAAAAAAUUACACUAGAAAAGAUCAGAAAUCUUCAACUAAUAUUGCACCAAAAUCAAUGGGAAAAUUAUCCAACUACCUAGAGCUACAUUUCAGACUCACAAUCUGUGGCAAGGAAAAUAAAUCAUUAUAAAAUUUCAUUAUGUGAUUCUAAAAUCAUUCCUAAAAAACCAGACUAACAGAUUGCUAAAACUGCUAAGCCAAUAAUAACAUUUAUGAAUUCGAAAAGUCAUUCACCGAAGACAUGUGGCAAAUGCACGCCUUGCAUUUCUAUAUACAAAAUGUAUUGGGAACCCUUUAAAUGUGUGACCAUCAGGUACAGCCCUCCUUAUGGCAUCUUGAAAUUCUUCAUUGCCUGCAGAUAUACUUGUUGUACGCUCAAAUUCAUAAGAAGCCAAAGCUGGUGAUAAGAGAUAGGAAAGCUGGUCUUCCCAAACAGUGGUGAGACCAAGAUCCUAUAGCAAUCAAAAGACAAAAGAAAAAAAGAAAAGGUGAAAUACACUAAUAUUUUAGAAACCAAUUGUUAAGUGUUGACUAUUUUAACAUAUUCCAAGAGAAAAUUCUUAAAACCUGUCAUAAUUUUUCAAACUUUCUAGUAACUAUUAUAAAGACACAUGCAAAUAAAAAAUAAAAGGAACUAUAGGUAUCUGGUUUUACUUCUUAGAGGAAAAAAAUGUUUUUUCUUUUUUUUUAAGUUUAUUUAUUUUGAGAGAGAGAGAGAGAGAAAGAGAGAGAGAGAGAGAGAGACAGGGCAGAGAGAGAAUCUCAAACAGGAUCCAUGCUGUCAGCGCAGAGCCUGACAAGGGGCUCAAUCUCACAACCACGAGAUCAUGACCUGAGCUGAAAUCAAGAGUCAGAUACGCUUAACUGACUGAGCUCCCCAGGUACCCCCAACAAAAAAUUUUCAAUACAAUGAUGUUAGUAAAGGCUCCAAAAUCCUAUACUUCCUUAAUAUCCACUAGAAAAGACCACGUGGAGUAGUCCUACUAUGAAAAACAUGGUAUCACUGAAUUUUGAGAUCACAUUUUAUUUGACUUUAAAUAAUACGAUUGAAUCUGCUUAAUUUGAGAGUUCCAACAUAAAUUUAACUGUAGUAGGGGAGAAAAGUCAACAAAUGAAUUGCACGUAUAAUUAAACUCAAGUAUUUAUUGAGCAUUAACUCUUAAAAAAACACUAACUUUUAUACUGUAAAGAGAUAAAAAGAUGAAAAAGACAUGCUAUAGGCCCUCAGGGAGUUUAGAACAUGUUUCUAUGGAAUGUUGAAGGCAAUUAUGAUUUCAUUUAUAUACAUCAGAGAAACUACAGAUAUUCAGACACAUGACAUUUUAAAAACAGUUAUAAACAUAAAAAACUUCUCAAAAUUCUAAAUAUUUUGAUAUAAUAAAUCUCUAGCAUUUCUUGAUUUUGCAUUCAAGGUUUUUACUGGUUCCAAGUGACCUCAAAGGUCCAGUAUCAUCCAUCUAUUUCCAGCAGCAAAAGCAAAUCUCACUUGCUGAUUUACAGGCACUACUAACUUAGUGAUCAACACUGGUAUCUAGCUCAGUUUUGUUUUCUUUUCUUUUUUUUUUUUUAAUUUUUUAAAUUUUUUUGGAGGGGGUGCCUGGAUGGCUCAGUUGGUUAAGUGUCUGAUUCUUGGUUUCGGCUCAGGUCGUGAUCCCAAAGUUGUGGGAUCGAGCCCUGGGUCAGGGCUGUCUGUGCAGAGACUGCUUGGGAUUCUCUCUCUCCCUCUCUCUGCCUCUCCCCUGCUCACAUGCAUGCGCUCUCAAAAUAAAUCAAAUAAACUUAAAGAAAAUAAUAACAAAGAAUAAUUUUUUUAAGCUUACUUAUUUCGAGACAGAGACCAUGCAAGCAGGGAAGGGACUGAGAGAGGAACAGACAGAAUCCCAAGCAGGCUCUGCACUGUCAGUAGAGAGCCCGAGGUGGGUGGUGAACUGUGAGAUCGUGACCUGAGCUGAGAUCAAGAGUCAGACGCUUAACCAACCAAGUUACUCAGGCACCCCUGUUUUCUUUCUCUAUUCAAAUUCUUAUAAUGUAAUAAAAUACUGGUUUUGUUUGUAAACAAAACCUAAGAAAAUUAAAAUGCAGUAUGAGUGAUGGAGGGAAAGGGGCAGUAAUGAGGGGCUUUCAUUCCCAGCAGUGUAGUGAACUAGAUCCUUGAGCAACCUAUUGCUGAGAACUACAAAUGCCAGACUAAAUAUUUUCCAAAAUACUUUUAGAUGCUUUGAUGAAUUAGCAAGUAAGUAUGGCAGAUUUUAGAGGCCAAAGCUAAUAGUAACUGGAGCCCAGAAAACAUAUCUAUCAGUUUGCCUUUGAUGGCCUCAAGAAACACAGAAAACAGGAUUCAUCAAAAGGUGAAUUAGAAAUAAAUUUUCUGAGAUUCUAGUACUUUAUCGGUUAUAUGUGUUGCAAAUAACUUUCCCCAUUCCAGUACUGCUCUUUUCAGCCUCUGACUGGUUUAUUUUAAUGAACAAAAAUUCUUAAAAGACACUAAUCUUUUAUGAUUAAUGCUUUUUAUGUCUUCUUUAAUGUACUUUACAAAAGAAAUCAAAAUGGCUAAUAAAGAGGUUUGACCUCAUAAGUAAUCAGGAAAAUGCAAAUUAAAGCUAGAAGGAUGUAAUUUUACAUCUACCUAAGUUAGUGUAAUAGGAAGAAAAAAACAAACAAAACUAACCUGGAAAAAAUGGAUAUAAAAAAUUAUAACCCAAUAUUUUCAAUAGGGAAUAAUACGAAUAAGUACUUCACAAAAAAGAAAUAAAAACAGUAGUAUUUAACAAAAUCUGAACUAGUUCACCACUCUUUAUUUCUAGAAGGAAGUAAUGAAUUUUAAAAGUAUUGGUGGGGUGCUAGGUGGCUCAGUCAGUUAAGUGCCUUGAUUUCAGCUCAGGUCAAGAACUCUCGGUCUCACGGUUCCUGAGAUACAGUCCAGCAUCAGGGCUGUGCACUGACAGCAUGGAGCCUGCUUGGGAUUCCAUCUCUCUCAAAAUAAACUUAAAAAGAAAAAACAGUACAAGUAUUGGUAUAUUUGGAAAUUUCUGAGUCUCAGAACUUAACUCUCUUGACUCUCAAAACUAUAAGCUUCUUAAGGGCAGGAACUCUGCUGCCCUUUGCUUUGUUAAAUUUGCUUUGUUCAGGUAUAAAAGUGACUGUACUAUCCCACCUGCACCCCUCCCAAAAUUGUUAAAUACAUAGACAACUGACAAAAAAUGCAUGAAACUACUAAGUUCAGUAUUAAUUACCUUUCUGUGUUCUGACACUAGUAGCCUUAGCUGCAUUUCUAUUUCAUUACUUGUUACUGAAGCAUCAAUUGUAGAUGCACAUAGAGGGGGAAAGGGAGGAAGGGAUGUUGUAGCUCCUGGGGCACACACAGAUUUGAUUGCUUCUUCACUCAUGGGUUUCCAUUUGGAUUCAUCAUUCAAAUCAAACACACAUAUUUCUACUGAGUCAGAGGGCUGACAAUUUCCCAGGAACAUCUGAUGAUUGAAAACACAACCAAUUGUUCGAUAUGGGUACAAUGGCUUGGGCUGUUCAGCAACUGGAGAUUCAUCAGGAUUGACAGGUUUGUGGAUAUACCUAAAAGAAGUAAAUCAUAAUUUUAUAUAAUAAGAACUUAAAAAUUAAGAAGGCAGCAUCUUAUUGAGAAAGAAAAUUAUUUGAACACUUAAGGCCAUAACUAUUUCCCAAGACUAGAGUUUAAUAUUUGUUUUUCCUUCUUAUAUUUCUACAAUUACUCUAUCUACAGUAAUUGUAUGGCACAUAGUAUGAUAUAAAAAUCAACUCUACUCAGGGGGCACUUGGGUGGCUCAGUUGGCUAAGCAUUCGACUUCGGCUCAGGUCAUGAUUUCACGGUUCGUAGGUUCCAGCCUCGCAUCAGGCUCUGUGCUGACAGCUCAGAGCCUGGAGCUUGCUUCAGAUUCUGUGUGUCCCUCUCUCUCUGCCCCUUCCCCACUCCUGCUCUGUCUGUCUCUCUCAAAAAUAAAUAAUAAACAUUAAAAAAUUUUUUUUAAUCAACUCUACUUUAACAUGAGAAUAUAUUCUAUGUAUAAUCAUUAAGAUCAAAAACAUUCAUCUCAGAUAAUACAAUUAAAAUAAUUUAGCUACAUAUUAUUAGGCAUAACUAACCAAAAUGAUUAUCAACCAGGGAAAAAUUCAGAAAAAGAAGAAGAUGGCCCAGGGCUGAGCCUUUAAGAACUCCAACAUUUAAAGACAAGAUAAAGGAAAAUUGAGAAUAGCCAGACAGGAAUAAUGAAAACUGAAAGUUCUAUGGGAGAAGUUAAGGAAAGAAAUGAUCCUAGCAAGGAGGAAGCACUGAACUCUAAAAAAUAUGAUGACAGAAAAACUAAAAAAAAAAGUAUACAGUGGAUUUACCAAUGUGGAGUUGGUGAUAUCAAAUUUUCAAAAGAAAUCAUGAUUUACAACCUGAGCUUAUUUUUAGGCUUGGGGAAAAACAUCAGAAAAAGAGUAUCCCAAUUACACAAUUAAAAGUAAAAUGUAAUUUUUUUUUUCCACCAAAAUCAUGUUGGUAAAGAAUAUUCUAGGUAUAUGAAUUUUCUUCAAAUUUAACAGCUUUUUAACUAUAGUAAUUUUUUACGUAGUCAUCAAAAAGGAUCCAAUAAUAAAAAUUAUCGGUAUGUGCCUUUGGGUACCAAUAUAAACAAAGAACUUAUAAUUUAAAACAUAUGCAUCUUCAUUUUAAUAUCCUUGUAAGCUGAAUUGACAAACCUGUGUCCCGUUAAACUCUCCCAAAAAGUGACAGUUCCAUCAGUUCCACAGGUCAUAACCCAUGCAUGAGGUAUUCCUUUUGCCUUAGUCCCAACACACACAAAGGCUUCUAAUCCAUAUCCAAGAAGAAGGCUGCACAGAAGAUUAGCAUGAUCUUCACAGUCACCCUAGAAAAUGAAAUGAAUUUAAGUAUUUAUUCCUUCACAUUGUUUCCUCAUCAAAUAUUCAAAUACAAAAUUACAAUAAAAGGGAAUAUUAAUUUUUUCACUUUUAAUCAUAAGUCUAGUAUUAAGCUGAAACAAUGGUGGGGGGACAAAAUACACUAAUUUUAGAAGACCCUAAAUUAUUUUACACAGUCAGUGCUCACAAACCUGAUAGUCAUAACAUGUAUACUUUAAGAGAGGGCUUUCAGGGGUGCCUGCCUGGGUGGCUCAGCAGGUUAAGCGUCUGACUUCAGCUCAGGUCAUGAUCUCAUGGUUCAUGGUUCAGAAGUCUGAGCCCCACAUUGGGCUCUGUGCUGACAGUUCAGAGCCUGAAGCCCACUUUGGAUUCUGUGUCUCCCUCUCUCUUUGUCCCUCCCCUGCUCGCCCUCUGUCUCUCUCUCUAAAAUAAAUAAACAUUAAAAAAAUUUUUUUUUUUAAAAAGAGAGCUUUCAUAUCAAAAGUUUAUAAAAACUCAUAAAACAUAGAUAGAAAUGCAGCAAGAUUUAAAGAUGAUUAGCUAAAGGACAUGAACAGACAAGAUGACAAAUGAUACACUAAGAAAUGCAAAUACAUGGGAAAAUACUCAAAACAAUGAGUUACAGUAUCCAUAUGUAAUCAUCUUAAGGCAAUAAAUACUAGGAAAAAUGAGAGAACAAAAUGCCAACAGUGGCAAUAAUUAUGGUAGAUUAUAUAUAAUUUUCCCUUCUAUUUUCUAAAUUUUCUUUGACAAUGUUUUAUUACUUUCAAAUCUUAAAAAUGUUAUGAAAACCACAAAAAUAGAAUAUAUUUUAUAUUCUAUAAAAAAAUCAAAAUAUUAAACAGUAAGGAUGCAAUUAUAUUAAGAUAUGUAUUUAAGUGUAGGACUGUGGGUAAUUAAUAUACAAAAGCAAAAAUAACAAGUUCAGGGUUAGCAUGGGGGAUGAUUUCUUUCCCCCCAAAUUUUGUAUUAGUGGCUCUGCACUGAUUUUUUUUAAUGUUUAUUUAUUUUUUGAGAGAGAGAGAGAGACAGAGUGUGAGUGGGGGAGGGGCAGAGAGAGAGAGGGAGACACAGAAUCCAAAGCAGGCUCCAGGCUCCGAGUGUCAGCACAGAGCCUAACGUGGGGGUUGAACUCACAAGCUGUGAGAUCAUGACCUGAGCCGAAGUCAGCGGCUCAACCAACUGAGCCACCCAGGUGCCCGUGCACUGCUGGUUUUUUUUAUUAACUAUACUAAAACCAAUAGCAUUUUAAAAUCAUUAAUUGACUUUUGAAAAAUAUAAUAUCCAUCUUUUACACCCAAUUUCUAUACUGAGAUUUUAUAGUUUAAAAAUUUCAAAGGAAAAAUAAUACUCCCAAAGAUAUUCAAUGAAAAAUUUACUCACAAGAACAUCAAAAAAUUGGAAGCAAGCCUACUGUAGCCAAGAGAAACAAUUACUACAAUGGCAAAAUAGUUAAGUAGAUUUUGUAUGUCAACUAAAGAAAACCUUAUACGGACAACCAUUUUAAAAUGGAGAUCAUAAAAAUUAUAGCAACACAUGGAAAAAUGUUCAUAGCAUAAUGUUAAAUUAUAAUGUAUAAAUUACAGGGCACAAAAUUUUAUUUAUAUCUCAAUUAUAAUUAUAGAAAGAAUGAUAAAUACACAGGAGAAAAAUAUAAAAAUAUAAGAAGAGAUGAAAAACCGGCAAUAGAAUUAUAUGUGAAAUUGCACCUUUACUCUUGUAAUGCUGCUGUUUGUGCAAGAAUAACUUUUUCAAUAAUUUUCAAGAUUCUAAUUUUAAGAUAUUCUUUCUCUUUAAACAAACUCAGGCGAACAUAAUAGUGAAUCAAAGGGAUGAUUAUUUGCUUUGCAAAAGCAUUUUUUACAUAAUAAUUUUAAAUAUGUACCAUUCCUACUAUAUUUGAAGUUAAAAAGCUAAAAUCCAUAAACACAACUUUUGGAAACCACAGCUUGAGAAUAAAUCAAAAUAAUUUUUUUAUAAUGUUUAAGUUUUCAAUUGUUUUUAAGGUAAAAUCCUUCUGACAAAUCAAUCUCUAAUCAUAAAUAGGUUCUACUGGAUAAGCUUUGCCUUGUGAAUGAAUACUCAUACUAUUUAUACAACCUCAAACUAAACAAAAUUAUUUCAAAACAAUAAAGAAAUUUCUUUUCUUCUGUUUUGGUAGAACUGGAAUGCUUACAGAUGCUCUCAUUUUUAUAUUAUCAAAAUUUUUAGAACACAGAUUAGGAAAUAUCACACACAAUCUAUAAAAUUAGUUUACUGAAAUCAAUUCAUUUAACAUCAAUAAACUUACACAAUUUUUUAAAAUAAAAAUCAACAAUGUGUCUUUUUUAAAAAAAAUUGUAAUGUUUAUUUUUGAGAAAGAGAGAGACACACAGCAUGAGUGGGGGAGGGGCAGACAGAGAGGAAGACACAGAAUCAGAAGCAAGCUCCAGGCUCCAUGCUGUCAGAACAGAGCCCCACGUCAGAUUUGAACCCAUGAACUGCGAGAUCAUGACCUGAGAUCAACUCAGACGCUCAACUGACUAAGCCACACAGAAACCCCUACACAAAUUCUUAAAUAUAUGCUUAUAUUUGAACUAAACACAAUACCAUGCAAUCCAAGACUUUUUUCCAUAUUCACUUUGUCCUGCCAUUUUCUCUUUUAAAAAAAAUGUAUCAUCGGGGCGCCUGGGUGGCGCAGUCGGUUAGGCGUCCGACUUCAGCCAGGUCACGAUCUCGCGGUCCGGGAGUUCGAGCCCCGCGUCAGGCUCUGGGCUGAUGGCUCAGAGCCUGGAGCCUGUUUCCGAUUCUGUGUCUCCCUCUCUCUCUGCCCCUCCCCCGUUCAUGCUCUGUCUCUCUCUGUCCCAAAAAUAAAUAAACGUUGAAAAAAAAAAAAAAAUGUAUCAUCUAAGUAGAUUUUAACACAUGAAUAGUUCUGGUCCCAGCGCCAUCUCUAAUUCACUGUUUAAUUUACCUCUAUAUCUUAAUUUCUGACACUAUACUACUUGUCUCUACCUCACAAAAAUCAUAUUACACUAAAUAAGAAGCUAUACAAGAAAAUAAAGAUGCCAAGGUUUUUCCUUAUGUAUUGAAAACAAAAGAUUCUGACUAGUUCAAACGGACAAUAUAUCCAUUUUUCUAAGUUAAUUAUUUUCAAACGCAAUAAAUUCACAAUAAUGAAGAUGUACUGGUUUUCAAUUCUAUUACAUAUGUAGGAUACCUUGUUUCUACAGAGAAAGGCCAGCAGAGUGCACCACUGUUCCUGUUUACCUCCUCCUCCAAUAACCGGGGCUCUUUCAUAACCAAGGACAUUAACAAAUCUUGCUGCUUGCCUUGGAGUAUCCAAAAGCCUCCCAGCUCGAAGUGGUUUAAUAUAGGAACAGACUGGUCUAUUUAUCCCAUUUUCAUCCUGGGGGAAGAGGGGAAAACACUGUAAUGACAGAUUAAUC
Molecule: long non-coding RNA, 20132 nt
Filed under: Lynx pardinus (Iberian lynx)
Lineage: Eukaryota; Metazoa; Chordata; Mammalia; Carnivora; Felidae
Rfam family: tRNA (bases 8480-8564)
Source: RNAcentral